CCAAUUUGUACAGUAUUAGGCAUUAUUACCCUGGAGUCAUUAUUUAAGGUUUUUGAAGCUCGCACAGAUAUGAUAUAAAUUGUUGAAGUCAAGAUUCUCAAACAUCUGGUAUUAACCAUGAAAGGGGACUAUAAAAGACAAAGGCACAUUUGUGAUCAUUCUCAGUAGUCUUUUUAUGUAAGGUAAUUACCAAAAUAAUCUACAGACAUGGCUGUGAUUAUUAAUGGAAAUUAUGGCUUAAAAACUACUGUGUAAUGUACUCGCGCAAGUCAGAUAGGG
Molecule: non-coding RNA, 279 nt
Organism: Pelobates cultripes (western spadefoot toad)
Lineage: Eukaryota; Metazoa; Chordata; Amphibia; Anura; Pelobatidae
Source: the annotation of a GenBank genome assembly